UCCAUAAAGUGUGGAACUCUGGGGUCUCACUAAGAACAAGAUUUAAAGUCAGACGAGUUCCAAAGAUACUUCCUGAAGAGACUCUUGGAUUUUGCCUGUGACAGCCCUCCCCAGGACGAGGAAGGCAGCCUCCCCUUGGGACAGCACUCUACGGACUUCUCAGUGUUGGAAAGAGCUGGGACUCCUACAGGGAAUUCCUACUCUUCAUAUUUGUUCUCUGCUAAACCAGAGGAGACACAUCUUGCUCUAGAGUUCCCCAGAACCUGCUCUUCUGGGUCAGCCUCCUGCUGUCUUAUUCUUCCAUCUUUUCUCCACCUAUGCCCAAAGCACAACCAAGGUCACUUUGUUUCUUGAGCUGAGUUCACGCUGGAGCAUUCUUGACCCAGAGAGACACCAUUUUAUAAUGGAAGGCACUUCUUGAGAACCAGAGAGACCUCAUUUCUCAUGAUCUCACUGUGCAGGACUCAGUUUUUAAUACUACAAUGUGAAUUACGAAUCUCCAGGAGGAGAAUAUAAUAUGCGCUGUUUCCGAAGCUCAUCUGACUACAAACUGUGUUUUAAAGAAUGUCUGGCAAUGCAACAGAGCUUCUAUUUCCUGGCAGAUGGACCAUGAGCCUGGGCCAGAGAAUCUGGUGCUGAGCUGCUGCAGUCAGCUGAGCUGCUUACGUAACCUGAAGGCUCUCCUGGGAGGACCAUGCUGUGAAAGGCAGCUCUGGUUUGCUUCCCCUCAGAUAAUGUUUAUAUGGCCUUUUGGUCAGAGAAGAAGCAAAGAUAAUCCCCCUGACCCUCAGGUUGAGGAGACACAGAUCGGCCUUUGCUGAGGGUAGCACAGCAAAUGAGGAUGCAUCUCCCAGCAGGGUCAAAUGCAAACAAAAAUGCUGUGAGACGCAGGACAUCAGGGGCAUCCCAGGGCCUGAAUAUUCUUACUCUGACCAGAGCCGGCUCCGGGCAGCUGUCAGCCAUGCCUUAAAAAUCAGAAGUCUGCACACUUUUUCCGUAAAGGGCCAGGUAUUAAAUCUUUCAGGUUCAUGGGCCACAUGUGGUCUCAGAUGCAACUACCCAGCACUGCCAUUGUGGCAUGGAAGCAGCCAUAGAGACUUUGUAAAUGAAUGGGCACGGUGGCAUUCCAAUAAAACUUCAUUUACAAAAACAA
RNAcentral lists this long non-coding RNA (1153 nucleotides) under Homo sapiens (human). RNAcentral's name for it is "HSALNT0309622". Lineage: Eukaryota; Metazoa; Chordata; Mammalia; Primates; Hominidae. The record is from RNAcentral.